GAAAUGCGAUAAGUAGUGUGAAUUGCAGAAUUCAGUGAAUCAUCGAAUCUUUGAACGCACAUUGCGCCCUCUGGCAUUCCGGGGGGCAUGCCUGUCCGAGCGUCAUUACGCACCCUCAAGCCCGGCUUGUGUGAUGGGCCCUGGCGUCUCGUUCGCGAGACGGGCCCGAAAGGCAGCGGCGGCGUCGACCCGAUGAGCCCGAGCGUAUGGGGACUUUUGUCACACGUUUGCGGUGCGGACCGGCGCCUGCUUGACUUUUCUGAUUAUCCAGGUUGACCUCGGAUCAGGUAGGGAUACCCGCUGAACUUAAGC
This 312-nucleotide unclassified non-coding RNA is filed under the name plant metagenome. Its description in RNAcentral is "partial contains 5.8S ribosomal RNA, internal transcribed spacer 2, and large subunit ribosomal RNA". The stretch from base 1 to 105 matches the Rfam family "5.8S ribosomal RNA", at positions 50 to 154 of the family's 154-position model. The record is from RNAcentral.